GCGGGUGUAGUUUAAUGGUAAAACCUCAGCCUUCCAAGCUGAUAUCGUGAGUUCGAUUCUCAUCACCCGCU
RNAcentral lists this transfer RNA (71 nucleotides) under Bacillus fengqiuensis. RNAcentral describes it as "tRNA-Gly". It matches the Rfam family "tRNA". Rfam says of the family: Transfer RNA (tRNA) molecules are approximately 80 nucleotides in length. Their secondary structure includes four short double-helical elements and three loops (D, anti-codon, and T loops). Lineage: Bacteria; Bacillati; Bacillota; Bacilli; Caryophanales; Bacillaceae. The record is from RNAcentral.